Molecule: ribosomal RNA, 253 nt
Filed under: uncultured bacterium
Lineage: Bacteria
Description: partial 16S ribosomal RNA
Rfam family: Bacterial small subunit ribosomal RNA
Source: RNAcentral
UACGUAGGGUGCGAGCGUUGUCCGGAAUUAUUGGGCGUAAAGAGCUCGUAGGCGGUCUGUCGCGUCGGAUGUGAAAACUCGGGGCUCAACCCCGAGCCUGCAUUCGAUACGGGCAGACUAGAGUUCGGUAGGGGAGACUGGAAUUCCUGGUGUAGCGGUGAAAUGCGCAGAUAUCAGGAGGAACACCGGUGGCGAAGGCGGCUUGCUGGGCCAGUUCUGACGCUGAGGAGCGAAAGCGUGGGGAGCGAACAGG